GUGCUUGCUUUGGCAGCACCUAUACUAAAACAUCUGGAAUGAUACAGAGAAGACUAGUGCAUGGCCCCUACACAAGGGCAACAUGUAAAUUCAUGAAGCAUUUCAUAUUUAA
RNAcentral lists this small nuclear RNA (112 nucleotides) under Castor canadensis (American beaver). The record is from RNAcentral. Lineage: Eukaryota; Metazoa; Chordata; Mammalia; Rodentia; Castoridae.